This 2194-nucleotide ribosomal RNA is filed under the name Brumimicrobium salinarum. RNAcentral describes it as "bacterial LSU rRNA". It matches the Rfam family "Bacterial large subunit ribosomal RNA", at positions 1 to 2201 of the family's 2925-position model. The record is from RNAcentral. Lineage: Bacteria; Pseudomonadati; Bacteroidota; Flavobacteriia; Flavobacteriales; Crocinitomicaceae.
AUAAGUUACUAAGGGCACACAGGGAAUGCCUUGGAUUUGAGAGGCGAUGAAAGACGUGAUAAGCUGCGAUAAGCUACGGGGAGAAGCACACAUUUUGUGAUCCGUAGAUUUCUGAAUGGGGCAACCCGUCUGGUUGAAGACCAGUCAUCCCGAUUUAUCGGGAAGCUAACCUGGAGAACUGAAACAUCUAAGUACCCAGAGGAAGAGAAAACAAUAGUGAUUUUGGUAGUAGCGGCGAGCGAAACUGAAGUAGCCCAAACCGGAGUUGUUUCGGCAACUUCGGGGUUGUAGGACUACAAUAUGGACUUAUAUAUUAUAAUCGAGACGAGUUGGAAAGCUCAACCAAAGAGGGUGAUAGUCCCGUAGAUGAAAUAAUAUGUAUACCUAGUAGUAUCCUGAGUAGGGCGGGACAUGUGAAAUCCUGUCUGAAUCUAGCAGAACCAUCUGUUAAGGCUAAAUACUCCUCAAAUACCGAUAGCGAACCAGUACCGUGAGGGAAAGGUGAAAAGAACCCUGAAUAAGGGAGUGAAAAAGAUCCUGAAACUGUGUGCCUACAAGCGGUCGGAGCCUACGGGUGACGGCGUGCCUUUUGCAUAAUGAUCCUACGAGUUACUCCUCACUAGCGAGAUUAAGGUUUUCAGAACCGUAGUCGAAGCGAAAGCAAGUCUUAAUAGGGCGUUUUAGUUAGUGGGGGUAGACGCGAAACCUUGUGAUCUACCCAUGGUCAGGUUGAAGUUCCAGUAACAUGGAAUGGAGGACCGAACUGAUAUACGCUGAAAAGUAUUCAGAUGAACUGUGGGUAGGGGUGAAAGGCCAAUCAAACUAGGAAAUAGCUCGUACUCCCCGAAAUGCAUUUAGGUGCAGCGUUCAGGUAGAGUCUUAUAGAGGUAGAGCUACUGAUUGGGCUAGGGGGCUUCACCGCCUACCAAACCCAGACAAACUCCGAAUGCUAUUAAGAUAUACUGAGCAGUGAGGGCAUGGGUGCUAAGGUCCAUGUCCGAGAGGGAAAGAACCCAGACCAUCAGCUAAGGUCCCAAAAUAUACGCUAAGUUGAAUUAACGUUGUUUGAUUGCUUAGACAGCUAGGAUGUUGGCUUGGAAGCAGCCAUUCAUUUAAAGAGUGCGUAACAGCUCACUAGUCGAGCGAUCGAGCGUGGAUAAUAAUCGGGCAUAAGCGUAUUACCGAAGCUGUGGAUUUUCUAAUUAAUUUUAGAGAGUGGUAGGGGAGCAUUCUAUAUGCGUUGAAUGUGUGCUUUGAGGCAUGCUGGAGCGUAUAGAAAAGCAAAUGUAGGAAUAAGUAACGAUAAAGCAGGCGAGAAACCUGCUCACCGAUAGACUAAGGUUUCCUGAGCGACGCUAAUCGUCUCAGGGUUAGUCGGGACCUAACGCGAACCCGAGAGGGGUAGUGGAUGGAUAAUGGGUUAAUAUUCCCAUACUAAUUGUAAUUGCGAUGGGGUGACGGAGUGAUGAAAGAUCUGCGAACUGACGGAAUAGUUCGUUAAAGCGUGUAGCUAUAUUGUGUAUAGGCAAAUCCGUACAUAAUGGCCAAUGUGAUAGUACCACAAGUCUACGGAUGAGUGGAUAAUGAUCCUAAGUGCUUCCAAGAAAACCCUCUAAGCUUCAGAUUACAAUUACUCGUACCGUAAACCGACACAGGUAGUCAAGGAGAGAAUCCUAAGGUGCUCGAGUGAAUCAUGGCUAAGGAACUAGGCAAAAUGGUCUCGUAACUUCGGGAGAAGAGACGCCCCCGAGCAAUCGGGGGCCGCAGUGAAUAGGCCCAGGCGACUGUUUAUCAAAAACACAUGGCUUUGCGAAAACGAAAGUUGAAGUAUAAGGCCUGACACCUGCCCGGUGCCGGAAGGUUAAGAGGAGAUGUCACCCCGAGUAAUCGGGGGAAGCAUUGAAUUGAAGCCCCGGUAAACGGCGGCCGUAACUAUAACGGUCCUAAGGUAGCGAAAUUCCUUGUCGGGUAAGUUCCGACCUGCACGAAUGGUGCAACGAUCUGGGCACUGUCUCAGCCAUGAGCUCGGUGAAAUUGUAGUAUCGGUGAAGAUGCCGAUUACCCGCAACGGGACGGAAAGACCCCGUGAACCUUUACUAUAGCUUCACAUUGAUAUUGGACACUUUAUGUGUAGGAUAGGUGGGAGACUUUGAUCGUGCGUCGCUAGGCGUAUGUUAGUCGUUGUUGAAAUACC